This 2854-nucleotide ribosomal RNA is filed under the name Olea europaea subsp. europaea. Its description in RNAcentral is "eukaryotic LSU rRNA". It matches the Rfam family "Eukaryotic large subunit ribosomal RNA", at positions 1 to 2604 of the family's 3401-position model. The record is from RNAcentral. Lineage: Eukaryota; Viridiplantae; Streptophyta; Magnoliopsida; Lamiales; Oleaceae.
GACCCUAGGUCAGGUGGGAUCACCCACUGAGUUUAAGCAUAUCAAUAAGCGGAGGAAAAAAAUUACAAGGAUUUUCCUAGUAACGACGAGGGAAUUGGGAAAAGCCAAACUUGGGAAUCGGACGGCCCCACCAUUCAAAUUGUAGUCUGGAGAAGUGUCCUCAGCGGUGGACCAAGCUCAAGUCCCCUGCAAAGGGCUGCCAGAGAGGGUGAGAGAGCCAUUGUGCUCAGACUCCGCCACAACACGAGGUGUUGUCGGCUAGUGGGGUUGUUUAGGAAUGCAGCCCCAAACAGGUGGUAAAUUCCGUCCAAGGCUAAAUAUGGGCAAGAGAUUGAUAGCGAACAAGUAUCUCGAGGGAAAGAUGAAAAGAACUUUGAAAAAAGAGUCAAAGAGUGCUUGAAAUUAUCAGGACGAAAGUGGAUGGAGGUCGAUGAUACGUCUCGAUCGGAUGCAGAACAAUGAUGAGUCGGUCUGUUGAUCGACACGGGGCAUGGACCAGCACGAAUUGAGGUGGCGACCAAAGCCUGGGUAGUUGAUGUGCUCUUGGAAUGCCAUUGCCCGAUUGUGGCAGACAGCGCAUGCCCUUAGCAUGUCUCGACACCGCACGCUCACAAUGCUAGCCUGUGAGCUCCCCAUUCGACCCGUCUUGAAACAUAGACCAAGAGUCUUACAUGUGUGUGAGUCAACGGGUGAGUAAACCCAUAAGUCGUAAGGAAGCUAAUUGGUGUGAUCCCCCCAAGGGGUGCAACACUGAUCAACCUUGAUCUUCUGAGAAGGGCUUGAGUGCGAGCAUACCUGUUGAGACCUGAAAGAUGGUGAACUAUGCCUGAGUGGAGCGAAGCUAGAGAAAACUCUAGUGGAGGCCGGUAGCGAUACUGAUGUGCAAAUUGUUCAUCUGAAUUGGGUAUAGGGAUGAAUGCCUAAUCGAACCAUCUAACAGUUGGUUUCCUUUAAAGUUUCCCUCAGGAUAGCUAGAGCUCGGGUGCAAGUUCUAUCAGGUAAUGCCAAUGAUUAGAGGCAUCGGGGGUACAACUCCCUCGACCUAUUCUCAAACUUUAUAUAGGUAGGAUGGUGUGGCUACUUUGUUGAGCUGUGCCACGAAAUUGAGAGCUCCAAGUGGACCAUUUUUGGUAAGCAAAACUGGCGAUGCAGGAUUAACCAGAAGCCGGGUUACAGUACCCAACUGCAUGCUAACCAAGAUCCCACAAAGGGUGUUGGUCGAUUAAGGUAGUAGGACAGUGGUCAUGGAGGUUGAAAUUUGCUAAGGAAUGUAACAACUCACUUGGCGAAUCAACUAGCCCUAAAAAUGGAUGCCGCUGAAGCUGUAACUUAUACCUAGCCGUUGGGCAAGCACCAGGCUCCAAUGAGUAAGAGGGCAUGGUGGUCAUGGCAAAACCUUGUGCUCCACCCAAGUGGAAUGGCCGUCGGUACAGAUCUUAGUGGUAGUAGCAAAUAUUCAAAUGGGAAGGCUGAAGAGGGAAAAGGUUCCGUGUGAACGGCACUUGCACACAGGUUAAUCGAUCCUAAGGGUCUAGAAAAGCCCAACAGACAGCGCGUUUCACGCAUGCACCAAAAGGGAAUUGAGUUAAAAUUCUUGGACCAGGAUGGGGCAAUUGGUAGCAAUGUUAGGGAGUCCAAAGAUGUCGACAGGGGCCUAAAAAAGAGUUAUCUUUUCUAUUUAACAACCUGCCCACCCUGGAAACGACUCAGCUGGAGGUAGGGUCCAGCGGCUGGAAGAGCACUGUAUGUCUCGUGGUGUUCUGUGCGCCCCCGACGACCCUUGAAAAUUCAGAGGACCUAGUACCGUCUCUACCCAGUCAUACUCAUUACCGCAUUAGAUCUCCAAGGUGAAUAGCCUCUGGUCAGUGGAACAAUGUAGGGAAUGGAAGUUGGCAAAAUGGAUUCGAAACUUCGAGAAAAGGAUUGGAUCUAAGGCUGGACACGGGGAUCCCAGUCUCGAACCCGUCAACUGUCAAUGGACUGUUCAAGCUGCUUCCAUGGGGAGAGCAUGUCAAUACGUGUCAGUCGGGGGAUGCACUGAGAAUGACUCUUUCAGGAGCCUUCCUCGGCAUCGAACAGUCGACUCGGAACUAGUACGAACAAGGAGAAUCUGACUAUUUAAUUAAAACAAAGCAGUGCGAUGGUCCCAACGGAUGCUCACGCAAUGUGAUUUUUACCCAAUGCUCUGAAUGUCAAAGUGAAGAAAUUCAAUCAAGCGUGGGUAAAUGGCGGGAGUAACUAUGACUUUCUUAAGGUAGCCAAAUACCUUAUCAUCUAAUUAGUGAUGCGCAUGAAUGGAUUAACAAGAUUCACGGUCUCUGUCUACUAUCCAAUGAAACCACAGCCAAGGGAACGGGCUUGGCAGAAUCUACGGGGAAAGAAGACCCUAUUGAGCUUGACUUUAGUCCGACUUUGUGAAAUGACUUGAGAGGUAUAGGAUAAGCGGGUCCAAAAUCAUUGUACAAAUAGCAAAGUUCAAUCGGUAAGAACCUCGUCACAUGUAAACUAUGGUGUACACUUUAGUUUACACUUUACCACAUGACUUUACCCUGUUGGAAAGUUUAAAUUUCAAACUGGUUUCCCAUCCUGUUGACACUUGACAACAAUGCAAGCAUAGAACAUUCUGUUAAAAAUUAUUGUACAAAUUGUAAAGUUCAAUCGGUAAGAACCAUGCUACAUGUAAAUUAUGGUCAACACUUUAGUUUACACUUUUCCACGAGACAUUACCUUGUUGGAUAGUUUAAAUUGCAAAGUUCAAUCGAUAAGAACCAUGCUACAUGUACACUAUGGACAACACUUUAGUUUACACUUUUCCACGUGACAUUACCUUGUUAGACAGUUUAAAUUUCAAACA